AUUGAACGCUGGCGGCAUGCCUUACACAUGCAAGUCGAACGGUAACAGGUCUUCGGAUGCUGACGAGUGGCGAACGGGUGAGUAAUACAUCGGAACGUGCCCGAUCGUGGGGGAUAACGCAGCGAAAGCUUUGCUAAUACCGCAUAAGAUCUACGGAUGAAAGCAGGGGACCGCAAGGCCUUGCGCGAACGGAGCGGCCGAUGGCAGAUUAGGUAGUUGGUGGGAUAAAAGCUUACCAAGCCGACGAUCUGUAGCUGGUCUGAGAGGACGACCAGCCACAAUGGGACUGAGACCCGACCCAGACUCCUACGAGAGGCAGCAGUGGGGAAUUUUGGACAAUGGGCGAAAGCCUGAUCCAGCCAUGCCGCGUGCAGGAUGAAGGCCUUCGGGUUGUAUACUGCUUUUGUACGGAACGAAAAGACUCUGGUUAAUACCUAGGGUCCAGGACGGUACCGUAAGAAUAAGCACCGGCUAACGACGUG
Molecule: ribosomal RNA, 482 nt
Filed under: uncultured bacterium
Lineage: Bacteria
Description: partial 16S ribosomal RNA
Rfam family: Bacterial small subunit ribosomal RNA
Source: RNAcentral